AUUGAACGCUGGCGGCAUGCCUUACACAUGCAAGUCGAACGGUAACAGGUCUUCGGAUGCUGACGAGUGGCGAACGGGUGAGUAAUACAUCGGAACGUGCCCGAUCGUGGGGGAUAACGGAGCGAAAGCUUUGCUAAUACCGCAUACGAUCUACGGAUGAAAGCAGGGGACCGCAAGGCCUUGCGCGGACGGAGCGGCCGAUGGCAGAUUAGGUAGUUGGUGGGAUAAAAGCUUACCAAGCCGACGAUCUGUAGCUGGUCUGAGAGGACGACCAGCCACACUGGGACUGAGACACGGCCCAGACUCCUACGGGAGGCAGCAGUGGGGAAUUUUGGACAAUGGGCGAAAGCCUGAUCCAGCCAUGCCGCGUGCAGGAUGAAGGCCUUCGGGUUGUAAACUGCUUUUGUACGGAACGAAAAGACUCUUUCUAAUAAAGACGGUCCAUGACGGUACCGUAAGAAUAAGCACCGGCUAACUACGUG
RNAcentral lists this ribosomal RNA (482 nucleotides) under uncultured bacterium. RNAcentral's name for it is "partial 16S ribosomal RNA". It matches the Rfam family "Bacterial small subunit ribosomal RNA", at positions 30 to 507 of the family's 1533-position model. The record is from RNAcentral.